Microcebus murinus (gray mouse lemur) is the source of this 2034-nucleotide non-coding RNA. The record is from RefSeq and is a predicted model, not a curated record. NCBI's taxonomy places the organism in Eukaryota, Metazoa, Chordata, Mammalia, Primates, Cheirogaleidae.
AGCGUCCGGGGGUGGGGCUUCCGCUGCUGCGCGCCAGCGCCAGCCCCUCCUCCACCCGCACUUUUCUCACUGCGCCUUGCGUCGCCUGGUGACUCGCCGCAGCCGCAGGCCUGGCCGGCGUGGCCCGCCAGGCCUGCUGCCCGCACUCUUGCCCGAGGCUACCGCGGGCAAGGUUAUUCUUUUGGGAUUCCUCUUAGGGCAGGCACUGAACUUCGGACAGAACAUAUAUUACCUCAGCAGUCCUCACAAUGACACAGUAAUGUGUAAGAUGUUCCAAGCUCUUCAACUUCUGCACCAGCCCUGGUUCCGUUUAGUGAAGAAUGGCAUUCUGGAAUAAGUUCAGGUGCAAGAUGAACUCAUUGGAACUGGGAUGUCAUAGCUUCUAGGCCGCUCCAGGCUGCAGGUUUUUAAGGCAGCAGUGAUGGAAAACUGCACAGAUCUCUCCUUGCACAGACCUCGGCUGUCCUCAGGGCUGUAGCUGGCUGGCUUCUCAGAGAGCCAAUGACUGCAGAGAACUCCAAGAACCAGAGAGGUGGUGCUGGGCCUCCUGUGAGCAGAGGUGGGGACAAGUGCUGUCUGUCUCUAGUGGCUCUCACACACCUCACCCCGGUGGCCUCCACCACAGUCCUGGGGACAGGAUGCAUUUUUCUGUCUUCCAGAUGAGAGGCUGAGCCUCAGCCUCAGAGAGUGAGGGUGGCAAGGGCGAGCAGAAAUCUCUGCCAACUCUCGUGCUCUUUGUGGUCCAGCCUGGCCAGAGCCGCCUGGCCCAGAGGUAGCAAGGCAGACAAUGUGAGGCCACAGGGAGCCCUGCUGAGACUGGUCUUCCCAGGGCCCAGGAUGAAUGGCACUGCCACCUCUUGGGACACAGACCCUGCCCUGCUGGGCUUCAGCCAGGCUGGCCUAUGACAAAGAAGCAAUGCCAACCCUUGUGACUGGCCUUGCAGGAACCAGCUGUGGAAGAAGCUGCGUCAUGCCGGGAUGAGGGGCAUGAGGAGCCACAGGAUGAAGAUGACUAACUUCAUUCGUUUCUGUGGUGUGAACCCCUCCAUGGUGCCCUGAGGGCUCAGAGUCCUGCACACCAGCCUGGAGAGGGCCUGGGAGGGCUCAGCUCAAGGAAGCCAGUGGUUUCAAGAAUGGCAAGGCUGACUGUAGGGGUACAGCCCCCGGUUCUGGAAGGGGCAGCUGGAGUUGGCAAGACAGGGAGUGGCACCCUGGGGCAUUAGGCAGUUGGGAGGGACCCUGAAACUGAGAGGAAGAGCCUGCCAGAUGGGCUCUGAAGUCGAGUCUGGCUGCUCCACUAGGUGUCCUCAGGGCCUGGUGACAGCCACCUGACCUUCCUCUGUCACUUUUUCCUCAUAUGCAAAAUGAGAAUAAUAAUUCUGCUGACCUACUUCUGAGGAUAUUUGUGAAAAAUAAAACAUGGCAAAUUAAAGAGGGUGGGGAAAAAGCAAAGAGAGAAGGAAAAAGAGGAACAGGAAGAGAAUAAGAAAAUAAUAUAAAUAGGAGGAAGGAAAGAAACAGAUAAUUCUCAUCUUGGUAUCAAGAUGCAGAAACUGGAAGUGAAGAGCAGUCCACCAGGCCUUCCAGAGGUCCCAAGCAGACAGACAACUUCUGAAAAAACAGAUUACCAUUGUUAUCAAGUUGAUUUUUAUUGAUACAUAAUACUUGUACAUUUAUGGGCUACAUAUAAUAUUUGAUAUAUGCCUACAUGUACAAUGAUCAGAGUAUUUAGCAUAUCCAUCAUCUUGAACAUUUAUCAUUUCUUUGGGGAACAUUUCAAAUCUUCUUUUCUAGCUAUUUUGAAAUAUACAAUAUAUUAUUGUUAAAUGUAGUCACCUUAUUGUGCUGUUGAACACUAGAACUUAUUCCUUCUAACUGUAUGUUUGUACCCACUAACUCUGUGGUCUCCAUCCCCCAGGCUGUGGACCGGUGCUGGUCCAUGGCCUGUAAGGAACUGGGCGGCACAGCAGGAGGUGAGUAGUGGGCAAGCUAGGGAAGCUUCAUCUAUAUUUACAGCUGCUCCCCAUCGCUUGA